This 867-nucleotide ribosomal RNA is filed under the name uncultured fungus. RNAcentral describes it as "SSU rRNA". It matches the Rfam family "Eukaryotic small subunit ribosomal RNA", at positions 3 to 898 of the family's 1831-position model. Lineage: Eukaryota; Fungi. The record is from RNAcentral.
CCUGGUUGAUUCUGCCAGUAGUCAUAUGCUUUUAUAGAGAGAUUAAGCCAUGCAUGUCUAAGUAUAAGCAACUUUCUACUGUGAAACUGCGAAUGGCUCAUUAAAUCAGUUAUAGUUUAUUUGAUGGUUUUUGCUACAUGGAUAACUGUGGUAAUUCUAGAGCUAAUACAUGCAUUCAAGCCCCGACUUCCGGAAGGGGUGUAUUUAUUAGAUAAAAAUCAACUUUGUUGGUGAAUCAUAAUAACUUUUCGGACCGCAUGGCCUCGUGCUGGCGGUGCUUCAUUCAAAUAUCUGCCCUAUCAACUGUCGAUGGUAGGAUAGAGGCCUACCAUGGUUGCAACGGGUAACGGGGAAUAAGGGUUCGAUUCCGGAGAGGGAGCCUGAGAAACGGCUACCACAUCCAAGGAAGGCAGCAGGCGCGCAAAUUACCCAAUCCCAACACGGGGAGGUAGUGACAAUAUGUAACAAUAUACGGCCUUAUACGUCGUAUAAUUGGAAUGAGUACAAUUUAAAUCCCUUAACGAGGAACAAUUGGAGGGCAAGUCUGGUGCCAGCAGCCGCGGUAAUUCCAGCUCCAAUAGCGUAUAUUAAAGUUGUUGCAGUUAAAAAGCUCGUAGUUGGACCUUGGACCUGGACAGGCGGUCCGCCUCACGGCGAGUACUGUCUUGCUGGGUCUUUCCUCUUGGUGAUCUGUUGUUUCGGCAGCAGGGAACCAGGACUUUUACUUUGAAAAAAUUAGAGUGUUCAAAGCAGGCUCGACGCCGGAAUAUAUUAGCAUGGAAUAAUAAAAUAGGACGUGCGGUUCUAUUUUGUUGGUUUUUGGAAUCGCCGUAAUGAUUAAUAGGGACAGUCGGGGGCAUUAGUACU